AGUGAGGAAUAUUGCACAAUGGACGCAAGUCUGAUGCAGCAACGCCGCGUGGAGGAUGACGCAUUUCGGUGUGUAAACUCCUUUUAUAUGUCAAGAAAAUGACGGUAGCAUAUGAAUAAGCACCGGCUAACUCCGUGCCAGCAGCCGCGGUAAUACGGAGGGUGCAAGCGUUACUCGGAAUCACUGGGCGUAAAGGACGCGUAGGCGGGAAGUCAAGUCUGAUGUGAAAUCCUAUGGCUCAACCAUAGAACUGCAUUGGAAACUGGCUACCUAGAGUAUGGGAGGGGGAGAUGGAAUUAGUGGUGUAGGGGUAAAAUCCGUAGAUAUCACUAGGAAUACCGAAAGCGAAGGCGAUCUCCUGGAACAUAACUGACGCUGAGGCGUGAAAGCGUGGGGAGCAAACGGGAUUAGAUACCCCGGUAGUCCACGCCCUAAACGAUGUUCACUAGUCGUCGGAAAGCUUGUCUUUUCGGUGAUGCACUUAACAGAUUAAGUGAACCGCCUGGGGAGUACGGUCGCAAGAUUAAAACUCAAAGGAAUAGACGGGGACCCGCACAAGUGGUGGAGCAUGUGGUUUAAUUCGAAGAUACGCGAAGAACCUUACCUAGCCUUGACAUUGAUUGAAUACACCAGAGAUGGAGUAGUGCCUUUCGGGGAACAUGAAAACAGGUGCUGCACGGCUGUCGUCAGCUCGUGUCGUGAGAUGUUGGGUUAAGUCCCGCAACGAGCGCAACCCUCGUCCUUAGUUGCCAGCAGGUUAAGCUGGGCACUCUAAGGAGACUGCCUUCGUAAGGAGGAGGAAGGUGAGGACGACGUCAAGUCAUCAUGGCCCUUAUGGCUAGGGCUACACACGUGCUACAAUGGGGCGUACAGAGUGUUGCGAUACCGCGAGGUGGAGCUAAUCACUUAAAGCGUCUCUCAGUUCGGAUUGGAGUCUGCAACUCGACUCCAUGAAGCUGGAAUCACUAGUAAUCGUAGAUCAGCAAUGCUACGGUGAAUACGU
This 1003-nucleotide ribosomal RNA is filed under the name uncultured bacterium. RNAcentral's name for it is "bacterial SSU rRNA". It matches the Rfam family "Bacterial small subunit ribosomal RNA", at positions 353 to 1371 of the family's 1533-position model. The record is from RNAcentral.